Molecule: long non-coding RNA, 2617 nt
Filed under: Gadus morhua (Atlantic cod)
Lineage: Eukaryota; Metazoa; Chordata; Actinopteri; Gadiformes; Gadidae
Description: lncRNA (ENSGMOG00000034340.1)
Source: RNAcentral
AUGGAGAACGCUGAGGAAGGCGAUGACGAGGACAUGGUUAUGGGUGGAUGCUUCCCGCGGACUAGGCUCUGCCUACUCUGCUGUCCCCCUGAACAGCACCGCCUACCUGGCCGGCCUCCUGAACGGCUCCUCCUACUGCCUCUACCUCCUGAACGGCUCCUCCUACUUCCUCUACCUCCUGAACGGCUCCUCCUAGGUGGCUGGCCUCGAAAACGGCUACUCCUACGUCGUCAGCCUCCAGAACGGCUCCGCCUACUUGGCCAGCCCCCUGAAUGGCUCCGCCCAUAUGGCCGGCCUCUAGAACGGCUCCUCCUCCGUCCUCUACCUCCUGAUAGGCUCCGCCUACCUCCUGAACGGCUCCGCCUCCGUCCUCUACCUCCUGAACGGCUCCGCCUCCGUCCUCUACCUCCUGAUAGGCUCCUCCUCCGUCCUCUAACUCCUGAACGGCUCCGCCUCCGUCCUCUACCUCCGUAAGGCUCCGCCUCCGUCCUCUACCUGGUUUAUGGCUCCAGAGGUCCUGGUCAAGGAUCCCAGCUACAGCACGUAGCUCCUGAACGGCUCCGCCUCCGUCCUCUACCUCCUGAACGGCUCCGCCUCCGUCCACUACCUCCUGAUAGGCUCCUCCUCAGUCCUCUACCUCCUGAUAGGCUCCGCCUCCGUCCUCUACCUCCUGAUAGGCUCCUCCUCCGUCCUCUACCUCCUGAUAGGCUCCGCCUCCGUCCUCUACCUCCUGAUAGGCUCCGCCUCCGUCCUCUACCUCCUGAUAGGCUCCUCCUCCGUCCUCUACCUCCUGAACUGCUCCUCCUACGAAGCCGGCCUCCUGCAAGGCUCCGCCUCCGUCCUCUCCCUCCUGAACGGCUCCGCCUACGUUCUCUACCUCCUGAACGGCUCCUCCUCCGUCCUCUACCUCCUGAUAGGCUCCGCCUCCCAUCCCCUACCUCCUGAACUGCUCCGCCUCCGUCCUCUACCUCCUGAACGGCUCCGCCUCCGUCCUCUACCUCCUGAACGGCUCCGCCUCCGUCCUCUACCUCCUGAUAGGCUCCUCCUCCGUCCUCUACCUCCUGAUAGGCUCCUCCUAUGUCGCCGGUCCCCAGAGCUAUCCCGGCCACCUUUCCUGUCUCCAAUUCAUCCUCCAGAGCGGCUUUGCAUGUAAGCUGGCCUUUUUUGCAACAGGCUACCGACAUUCACCAACCGCUGCCUACGACACCUCCUGGGAAAUCUAUUGGCCCAACACCUUCUCAAAUGCCACCCUAACAAUGGAAAAACCAAUCAGGAGGAGGGGGAAGGGGGGAAUACCUAGAACCACCUGGAGAAGAAGCCCUGAACAGGAUCGAAGGGCGAAAGGGCUGGCUUGGCAACAACUGAAUGGGAAGUCACAAGAAUGGAGAGGGUAGAGGGGAUUCAUCGAUGGCCUUUACUCCCAAGGGAGCUUAAAGGCCUAACCUACUGACCAAGAGGCUGCUAAAGGAAUCAGGAAUGACUGCUGACUGUGGUCAUUACAUAUCUGACUUAUGUACUGUGAUUAUAGAGUGACAGAAAAUGUUAUAUAGGACUAUUUGAGGAAGAACAAAAAAGCAAGGCUUAAUUGCAAUGUAUAGUACAAAUUACUGCCUGGUGGGAUUAAGUAUCAUCAAGUGGGCAUGACAGAUUUCCUCAAAUUGCCUAGGCCUACACCAAGAGGUUUCAUCUUUAAACAUGUAGUGCAAAAAAGCAUGAUUUAAAAUGUAUUUGACAUUGAGUGCAGAAACCCUUUAUAUCAGAAGGAAAAGGAAGCCAACUAAUGGAGAUGGCUUUUAAUUAUGGUGUCAAUUACUUUACUUGUGUAAUUGUAAAAAAAAAAUAUAUAUAUACCGUAUAUAGCCUAUAUACGAAAGUUAAAUCAAACCUUUUUCCCUUUUGAUGUUGUUUAAUUGUAACAAAUGAAGUAAAACUAGUCUUGGACUAGUACUACGCAUGCUUAUGCACGCCCACAUGGUUGAUGGCCGCGUACACCCAGCGAAACCACGUGUUGGAGGUAAACAGCUGUUAUUGGUGACGAACAAGAACCUGAACUGAGAAAAAUGAUUGGGGAUAGAUGUUGGUAUAUGAAGGCAAUAUCCUGAAGCGGCCUUAACACAUAUUAACGAAUGAGCAUAUCAAAAUAUGCCGGAAAAGUCGCUGCAUCGUAAUGAAGUUAACUGGGCUUUAUAUUCGAAAUGUAAUGUAUACAAAUCAAAACCUCAUGUGUUCGCCAUGCAGCAGACCUAGGGGUCUGCGCAGGCAUGUGGCCGAGAUGUGAUUGGAGGGAAACGCGGUGUGGGCGGGGUUUGGGGAACGCGCUGAGAUCAAGCGUGUCUCCGGACUUUCUGUCUUGCUAUUUGAAAGCCCAACGGGGACCACGUGCAUUCACCUUAACCCAUAUAGUCACAUGACUCUUUGCCAAAGCCCACAGCAAGAGGUUCAUUCAUUAAACAUGUGGCACAAAAAGCAUGGAUUUAAAAUGUAUUUGACAGUGAGUGCAGAAACCCUUUAUAACAGAAGGACAUGCUGGAAGAAACUAAUGGAGAUGGCUUUUCAUUAUGGUGGCAUUUACUUUGAUUGUGUAAUUGUAUAUUCAUUUGAAAGUUUAAUAAAACUA